AAUAGAAUACAUGCUUUAUUCAUAUUAUUAUUCUCCACAAGGAUGUAUAUAUUCUUAACUAAGGAACAAAGGAACAAAAGAAACAAUGGAAAAAUUAUCCCCAAAAAAAUAAUGAGGGGAACAAAUCUAAGUAUCCAUCCAUCUACUACACUUACAUCCCUCAGCUCCAAUGUACAUCAACUGUCCUCAUCACCCCCUCCCCCCUCCCUCCCUUUUGUAGCUAGUUAUACAAACAAAAUUAAUCAAUAAUCCUCACAUGUACAGUUAAAC
This 270-nucleotide long non-coding RNA is filed under the name Hordeum vulgare. RNAcentral's name for it is "long non-coding RNA (HVUL_LNC020252)". Lineage: Eukaryota; Viridiplantae; Streptophyta; Magnoliopsida; Poales; Poaceae. The record is from RNAcentral.